UGGUUGAUCAACGAUUAAGAAUCAUUUUGGGGUUAAAUGAUCAAUACGAUUGACAUUUAACCUAGUGCAAGUGUUGCAGGAGGAUUGAUUAGCAAUUCGAUUGCUAAUUGGCUUAAUUUGAUUAAGCCAAUGGGCUGAGAUUAAGUCUAAUUGAAUAUGAUUUAAUUAGAUUUGGUUUGGGCUUGAUUGGAUCAAGUCCAAUUGGUUUAUUGGAUAAGCCAAGUGCAAGAAAAAACUAGUCCUAGUUCAA
RNAcentral lists this long non-coding RNA (250 nucleotides) under Elaeis guineensis (African oil palm). RNAcentral describes it as "long non-coding RNA (EGUI_LNC079793)". Lineage: Eukaryota; Viridiplantae; Streptophyta; Magnoliopsida; Arecales; Arecaceae. The record is from RNAcentral.